UAUGCGUAACUCUUUUCGUCCACAGAACACCAGAUUCAGCCAGCUUCGGCCACCUCUCUCAACUCAGAAACCUAUCUCUUUCCCUCCUAUUCAUAGUGCUGUCCCUCCCUGCCGUCCUAACCUACAGGUUUCCCCACCCAAAUCUGGCUCUAUUCCUUCCAAAACGUCCAGCCCCCGCUCUUUUUUUCUCGCUCCUGUUCCCCGUUAUUCCAAUUCCUUCAUUGCUCCUACUCCCCCUUCCAGCCAUUCAGAGACUUGAGAGUCUUAUCCUCCCCAACAUUUCCAGCCAACUCCAACCAGACCUCCGUGAUUCACAAAUCCUAUCCUGGAGAGAUGAUUUCCCUGUGAGUGGGACGGUUCUGCUAUCAUCCAGAAUUGCCAGAACAAUCGAUCCCCAGGAGCUUGACUUGGUGAAUGUUGGGAACUCAAGACAAUGCCAAUCAACAUUUAGCUUGGAGGCCGGCCUGAAUGAAUUCUACCUUUAUAACUGGUUUCUCCAUGGAAUUUGGUCUGUGGCCACAGAGCAAACAGCAAGACGAGGGACACAAGGUAGAGAAGAGUGAGUGGAAAUCAUGUCAUCUGAUCUCUACACGGCUUCUCUAGGAUGGACGUGUCAGAGCGCUUCCUGUUGCUUCUCCGUGUAACCACGUCCACAACAUCCAUUCUUCCAUCCGACCAACGUGUGCUGAGCCCCUGGGGGGUGCUGGCCCAGGCCCCGCGGACUUUGAACCCAGGUCGCCCUCCCUCCCCGGCGGCUUCCUUCUGAUGCCCACGAUCUCCUCUCUGGGUCAGCCCGGAACGUGAUGACCGCAGGCUGAACCAUGUCAGGGUGCACAGCGAUAUCGCGCUCCAUGAUGCUCAACUGUGGAGCUUGGGAGAAGAUGAUCGCCACACGGAGUGUUCAGCGCCCACCUCAGCCUCGUUCCUGAAACCCAGCCUGUGUACUGCUUGGAUAAAUAAAGAUGACUUUCAAGCGUCAGUCGGACCUUUCCUUUGUGGAGUCUCACAUUUUUCUGCCCGCAUGCACUGGUUCAGAUCCUUCAUCUUUGGGAACCCUGGGUGGCCCAGCGGUUUAGCACCUGCCUUUGGCCCACGGCGUGAUCCUGGGGACCCGGGAUCAAGCCCCACGUCGGGCUCCCUGCAUGGAGCCCGCUUCUCCCCCUGCCCGUGUCACUUUUUUUUUUUUAAAGAUUUAUUUAUUUAUUUAUGAUAGACAGAGAGAGAGAGAGAGGCAGAGACACAGGAGGAGGGAGAAGCAGGCUCCAUGCAGGGAGUCCGACGCGCGACUGGAUCCCGGGUCCCCAGGAUCACGCCCCGGGCUCCAGGGCUCCAGGCGGCGCUAAACCGGCUGCCCUUCCACCUACUUCUGAUGUUGGAAUCCUUUAAGGAGGGACCAACCCUUUUCUCCAAAAUUGGAUGUCCAAGUACAAGUUUCUCCGGAAAAGUGAUGCUAAUAAACCGAUUGAGAUUUAAAAGAAAUGACAAAUAUCACUGCUUCUGUGCUAAGAACAGCUUUUGUUAGUGGUGAAGGAGUCAAAACAAAAGGGAGAUUCAGAGGAGCAUUGGGCAUUUGAAUGGGAAGGGAUGAGGCAAAGGGAUAUACUUACACCCUAAGUCUAGCCUUGACAAUGUAUAUGACUUUUCCUGUAGCCAUAGGUAGGGGUGUGUGUGUGUGUGUGUGUGUGGUGAGGGGAUGCAUGAGAUGUUGUUUCUAUAAAGGACUAGUGACCUUCAGAUAGCUUAUUAUGCCGUGCUGCCUGCGGUUCUUGCCCUUCCCCAUCUGGCAGUUAAUCCGUGGGUCAGGGCAUCCAGUAAGAUGGAGACUGAGUGUCCCCAACACAGAUAAAUGGAAAUAGAGAAUAGAAGUGGUUCUAUAAAUCGUGAUGGUGGCUGACUGUAUUUACCAUGAACAGGGAAGUCUCCUUAUUUCAGCACACAGAUUCUGCAUCUUUAUGCUCCACCGUCACAGGGCCAUGGCUAUAUUUAACAACAAAGGCAAAGCGACUGAAAUUUUGUGACAUAAAUAGGAUUUUCAUUUUCCAUACAGAUCAUGGUGAAACGCAAAUACGAAAAGACUUUUUCCAAAAGAUAAUUUAGGAAAUGUCCACCUGCGUAUGAAGGAUAUUUAUAGUCAUGGCCAACCCAAAAUCCCACUUGGACCACAAUUAACUUAGCAUAUAUUUCUCAAGUGCUUACCAGGUUUUUUACAGUGUAUUACAUCUUUGGGAUUUUAGGCAGCAUGGCUUGUUUUCUUGCUCAGGAAAAGGUCUUGUAGGAGUGACUUAGAAGUGACAAUAUAAAGUUAUAUAUAAAAAGUGGAGAGAAUCCAGUAAAAUAUAUGAUGAAAGCAUAUUCAUCAUAUAUUCAUCAUCAUAUAUUCAUCAAAAUAUAUGAUGAAAGCAUAUUAUUGAGAAGGAAAAAAAUCAAUAUGGGCUUGUGAUAAUAUGAAAGACAGUGAAAAUGGGAAGAUUUUGAGGUGGACCUUGAGUAAUAGGUAAUAUGUAAAUAAAAGACUCGUAUACGUACAGUUCUCAUACAUCCUGGAUUUUCCCAGGGCUGCCUCAAUCAGUUAUUACAAUAAUAACUGCAUUUAUUAAGUGACUACUAUAUACUAAGUACUUUGCAUAUGUUACCUAGAAUCCUCCCAACUAUACAUUUCCUAAAAUUCUCCCUAUUUUUCAAACAAACAAAUAGGACAGAUAGAGCUUGCCAAAGGUCACGUGGGUACAAGGAGCUGGAAUUUCCAGUACACCACACCCUUCUAUGGUCUGUCAUCCAAAGUGCACUUCACAGAAGACAUACCCUGCUGUUUGGUUCAGACUAUAUGGUCUCUGCUGUGUAGUGGAUUGUCAGCUUUUCUUCAAAGUUGCCCAUUGCCAUCUGUUAUUGGCAAAAACCAUUCAUGUGUUGCAAGCUUAUCAUGAGAUCUGGAACUUGAGUCACUUCAUCUUUCAGGACACCAUUUGAACUCUAGAUAAUGACUGUCAUGAGAAUUGCUAAAGCCCAGGCAUUUGGUCAGUCCUGGGCAGAGGACAGGAUUGUCAAAGUUUUGCACCUGGUGCUUGGCCUCUCUUGGCUCUGGCUUACCCUCAUAUUUAACCCCUCCCUAUGUUCUAUUCUUCUGGCUCCGACUCUUGGCUCUCAGCUGAUCACUUGCCCUACAUCCAGGCACAUACAGUUUAGAUGGGAAUGUGGAAGGAGAGUUCCUUAGAAUGUUUUCUUUCUGGGGUUGGUGUGGUUGACGUGCUCAUGAUAAAAUGGUAGGAUGAAUAACAGAUGCCAAGGCACUGCUCUAGGCUUCCUGCUGAGCAGGGGGAUGCCGUGUGCCUUCCCGAGCUGGACAGGUGUGCCUCCUGGGUGUCCCUUCCAUGAUUUUCUUUGUAGUGCAGCCUGGGAGAGGGGAGGGACUUCUGUGCAUUGCUGUCACUACUGCGGCGAUUGUCGCCAGCCUCUCCCUCAAGGGUUGAGCCAGUGGGAAUUCUGGGGAACUUUCCCUGGAUCCUGGAAGAGAUGAGGUGGGAGGAGUGAGGACUCAGGAGGGGAGGAGGCAGGAAGAACCUGAGCCCAGAAGAGCAGGUGGCAGCACUGCAGUGGGAGGAGGUAAGUGGUAUUCUUAUACGUGCUGGGUUAUUCUAGAGUAUUCUCAGACACUCUAAAAAGGAUCAACAACCCCAAGGGCUGUCUGUGUGAGCAUUCAUCUGCCUUCAAAAUAACAGCUUUACCUCCAGCAUCUGGGCUUCUGGCAGUCGGACAAUGCCUUGCUUGGUGAAAUCCUGUCUCCUGUGCUUCCCUGAAGGCAUCAUAAACUCCCCUAUCCAUUCUCUCCUCUCAUCAGGGUUGUAGAGUGAUUUUAAGAUUAGAAUGACAGUGGAUGGCAAUUUCUAUCACAUUGGCCAACAUAUCAGAUAAAAGAAAAUCAGCUUUGUCCUUUACCAUAUGUGAAAAAUGCCUACCAACUGCUGAAUAAAUCCAAGCUUCUGAGGGAUAAUAACUUACACACUGAAUAUACUUAACGCUUGCAUCUGGACUUCCCAUCCCCUGGGUGUAACAAUAGUACUGAGUAAAGGUGUGAAUAAAUGAAUGGAAAUUUACCAGCCAGUCUUUUCUACCUUUUUUUUUUAAAAGGUUUUAUUUAUUUAUUCAUGAGAGACACAGAGAGGCUGGCAUACGCAGAGGGAGAAGCAGGCUUUCUGAGGGGAGCCUGAUGCGGGACUUGAUCCUGGGACUCCGAGAUCACACCCUGAGCUGAAGGCAGAGCUCAACCACUGAGUCAACCAGGUGUCCCCUACCCUUUUUUUUUUUUAACAGCAAAUGAUCUAAACCUGUCCCGAUGACUAGUUGCUUAUCAGCUCCCAGAUCCAAAACAAAAGCUAGAAACAAUAAUACUUGAUAAAAAUUCCCCCCAAAAGUCUGCUAGGUGUUAGACACUCCCCAUUGAUGAUAUUUUCAUUAUUAUCAGUGAUACUUGGCAAUUUCAGCAACAAUGGGAUAAGACUUGAGCUUGAUGUUGGUUUUAGGAAUGUUAGGUGUUUUGAGUACUUGAUAAACUUAUUCAGAAUCAAAAGUUUUCAAAAAAAAAAAAAUCCAAAGCUGGGUACAGCUGAGCUUUAGAAUAUCUCUGUGCUCUAAAUUUUGUCUUCUUUAGUAAUUUAUAGUCUGGACAUCUCUGCUGGUACUUUUGCACUCAGUAAAGAUGAACUGAGUGUGGCCACUGUAGCCAGUGGUCAUCU
This 4730-nucleotide long non-coding RNA is filed under the name Canis lupus familiaris (dog). Its description in RNAcentral is "lncRNA (ENSCAFG00030014202.1)". The record is from RNAcentral. Lineage: Eukaryota; Metazoa; Chordata; Mammalia; Carnivora; Canidae.